UGGAAAUCUCAGCUGAGAGCCAUGUCCCUUAUAGAGACUAAUUCCACUGAUCUCUACAGCACCAUUGUACCGGAGGGCUGUAACCACAGCUAUGUGACAAACAUGUGGAUGUGCAGCGUGAAUCCUGACAUCACAUGGAAGAUCAAACUUUUGCUGCAGUACCAGGCAGUAGACCUUGUAGAUGGGUCCUCUGUUUCACUGGCAAAAAGACUGGAGUCAGGAAUAAGGCCGCGGGUUGGAUCCUUGGGUUCUUUUUCCACUGAUGAAAUGAAGGCACACAGCCAUUACUAAUGGCCUUGGAAGACAGCCGCAGCAGGAACUACCGCAGUCACCAACUCCAUCUAGUGGGAAGAAAUCAGAAACAAAUGCUAUAGCUUAUGCAUACAAUUUAGACAAGCAUAAGCCGUGCAUACCUGCAUGUUCACGACUUGGAUUUGAACAUCUCUUUCACAAAAAGUCAAAGAUGUUAAAGUAGAAAGAAUGGCGACAGUUGGAAGAAAGUGGGCUAGUAGCUAAUGAAUCUGGAGAUGUCUGGCAAUGUCUGUGAUAUGUGUCUUUGGCUGACCUGGAGACCCACCAAAGGUGCAUUUAAUAAAACAGCAUCGCAUUGCUGAGAAGUGAGUUCACCAUGUAACACUUUUUGCUGGUGUGCAUAAAAUGAAGACUAAACCAAGG
Molecule: long non-coding RNA, 675 nt
Organism: Gallus gallus (chicken)
Lineage: Eukaryota; Metazoa; Chordata; Aves; Galliformes; Phasianidae
Source: Ensembl